Molecule: long non-coding RNA, 633 nt
Filed under: Dermacentor andersoni
Lineage: Eukaryota; Metazoa; Arthropoda; Arachnida; Ixodida; Ixodidae
Description: uncharacterized LOC126516530
Source: RNAcentral
GUGAAGGAGGGUUUCCUUCGGCGCGGCGUUAUCCCCGGCGUCAUCGGAUGCGUAGACGGCAGCCUCAUAGCCAUCAUCGCACCCAAGGGUGAGCGCAAGGCUGUGUUCAUGUGCCGCAAGGGAUACUACGCCCUCAACUGCAUGUUCGUAAGUAAAACUCACGUUUUCUGCGAUCCUUUUUGAAAGUUACGUUGCUCUUGCCAACGGGCACUUUCUCUGGUUUACGUUUUACCUCAGAUCUGCGACGCGGACAUGAAAAUCUUGGCCUUGGACCCUAUGUGACCGGGGUCGGACCACGACGCUUUUGUCUGGCGGACGACAUGGUUGCGCCGGCGGUUCCAAGCGGGGCGCAUCGUGAAUGCCGGGGAAUACCUCCUCGGUGACAGUGGCUACCCCUUGGAGCCGUGGCUCCUGACCCCGGUUCCUGGCCAUCCUCCAGUGCACACAGCCGAGGGGCAGUACAACACAGCACAUGCCGCCAUGCGUUCCGUAGUGGAGAGGUGCAUUGGGCUCUUAAAGAGCCGUUUCCGCUGUCUUCAGCGAUAUCGCACCCUCCUCUACGAGCCGGAACGUGCAGCCAACAUUGUCGCGGCAUGUGCUGUGUUGCACAACCUUCGCCUUUCUGAAGGCGAC